RNAcentral lists this ribosomal RNA (408 nucleotides) under uncultured bacterium. Its description in RNAcentral is "partial 16S ribosomal RNA". It matches the Rfam family "Bacterial small subunit ribosomal RNA", at positions 29 to 526 of the family's 1533-position model. The record is from RNAcentral.
AGUGAACGCUGGCGGCGUGCCUAAUACAUGCAAGUCGAACGAACUGGCGCACGGGUGAGUAAUAUAUAUUUAAUCUUCCCUCCACAGAGGAACACCAGUUGGAAACGGCUGCUAAUACCUCAUAGUGUAGGAUGAGACUAUAUCGUAUCAGCUAGUGUGUAAGGUAAUGGCUUACCAAGGCUAUGACGCGGAACUGGUCUGAGAGGAUGAGCAGUCACAUUGGAACUGAGACACGGUCCAAACUCCUACGGGAGGCAGCAGUAAGAAAUAUUGCGAACUGGGGGAAACCCUGACGCAGCAACGCCGCGUGGAGGAUGACACUUUUCGGAGUGUAAACUCCUUGUAUCAGGAAAGCGGUACCUGAUGAAUAAGCACCGGCUAACUCCGUGCCAGCAGCCGCGGUAAUUC